This 691-nucleotide long non-coding RNA is filed under the name Olea europaea (common olive). RNAcentral's name for it is "long non-coding RNA (OEUR_LNC002362)". Lineage: Eukaryota; Viridiplantae; Streptophyta; Magnoliopsida; Lamiales; Oleaceae. The record is from RNAcentral.
ACAAAUUCACAAAACAUGCAAAAUGGAAAAUCAAUCUAUUAAACCCACAAAAAAAUUAUCUUUAUUGAAGAUAAUGAUCGAGUUUUGUGGUGAUCGGUGUUGGGUGACAACUUCGAUCAUAUCCAAAUGUAAAAACUGAGUGAAUUUUUUCCUUUUUAUUCUCUGUUUUUUUUCUUCUUUUUCUUCUUCUUUUUUUUUUUUUUUUUCGUUGAAGAUGAGGGCAAUUUUGAUAAAUGUUUUAUAAAAUUUCUAUUUUAAUUUUUAAUGAUCAUAGGCUAUUGUGAAAAUACGACCAAAUCAAAUGGCAAUUUCCACCUCGAUUCAUUUUAAUGCAUUCCCUCGAUCCCAUUCCUCCGAAUCUUAUUUCCUAAUUAUAUUCUUAUCCUCUAAUUCAAUACAGUACAUAUCAGCCACUUGUGCUUGUUUACCGUUUCUCAACUAUUAACUAUAAAUAUUUGAAAAUCCCAAACAGUAGGAAAACCCAGGUAAAAGAUUAAAAACAUCUCACCUUGAAGUCUCCCCGUCUCCGAUGGCUUCCCCAGCUACGAGAUUUGUCUUCGCACUUCUUACAUUUGUCACCGUAGGAAUGAUAAUCGGUAACUCCUCCGAAUUCUUUAUUUUGAGCAUUUCUGUGAUAGAUUCCUGUACCGGACUGAGUUUUGAUUUUUAUUUUCUGACAGUUUUAACAAAU